UUGCUCUAGUGGGGCGAUCAGAGUCCAUAGCACUGGGUGGGAAAACAUGAAAGAAAAUAAGUGAAAGUGACGUAUUCCUCCAGAAUAGCUAAAGGUCAGUGCUCACCCCAUUCAGCCACUGUAUUCCCUAGACUUAGCAUGACGCGGUUGUUUCUAAAAAUCAACGCCACACUUAGCGUGGUAAUGUGGCUUUGUACUAUGGCAACGUAGCUAAGCCGGAACUACGUUUCCCAGAAUUCCCUUGCCUGUAGGUUUCCGGGGUUAGCACAGGCCACGUGACCUGAUGCGUGCUUUGUGAGGCGGAAGUGAUGCAGCGUUGUCGUCUCGUAGGCUUGAAAGUUGCAUCUAGAAUGGAUACAAUCAGUGAUGCACAUUUACCAGAGGAUGUGCGGCGUUUACUGUUGAUUUAUCUCUUUUCCUGCCUUUCAUCUCAGUUUGGUUCCAGGAUCUACACUCCUCCACCAUAGUCAGGAGAUUCAGGAAAAGCUGGCAGGGUUCAGCUUUCAAGUUGACCCUUGACGAACCAUGGCCAAUCCUGCUAAGAGUCAUGAAAGUCAAUCCUAACCAAUGAGAUGGAGGAGAAAUCACUGAAGAACUUGUGGAAAACAGGCCCUCUAGAUAAAGAGAAAUGUGUGGGGAAAAAGGAUUUUUUUAAUGUUAUUCUGGAUGUUUCCCAAAAGUACUGCUGCUGCCUUGCCUUUCUGACAGACACUGGCUUUGGAUGACACGCCGCAAGAAGGAAGGACGGAUCUGGGGUUUUUGAAGACUCACUGAGAUGCGCAAUGAACCAACCCUGAAGUAGCCAACUCAUUCCUGUUUGCAUGUGUUGACUGAAAAGAAUUAAAAAAAAAUAUAACUUUACUUCUAAGAGGUUACAACUUGCAGGCAGGAAGCAGGCCUCUACCUGAGGCCAUAAAGCAUACUUUUAAGGAGAAAAGGUAGGUAUUUAUGCUAGGUGGAGAGGUAGGAUAUAAGUAUUCUGUAGCAUACAGGAGAAGCCUAUGAAAAUUCGUGGAGGAAACUUGUUAGACACGUGCCACUGGGCUUACCUAUGAGGAAUAUCUGAAAGUGGACGACCUAUGUUCACUUUGGGGUGAAGAUUUAACAUUUAGAUGUAUUAUAAUUA
This is a long non-coding RNA of Chlorocebus sabaeus (green monkey), 1126 nucleotides long. RefSeq lists it as uncharacterized. Lineage: Eukaryota; Metazoa; Chordata; Mammalia; Primates; Cercopithecidae. The record is from RefSeq and is a predicted model, not a curated record.